UGCAAGUCGAACGAACUCUUCGGAGUUAGUGGCGGACGGGUGAGUAACACGUGGGAACGUGCCUUUAGGUUCGGAAUAACUCAGGGAAACUUGUGCUAAUACCGAAUGUGCCCUUCGGGGGAAAGAUUUAUCGCCUUUAGAGCGGCCCGCGUCUGAUUAGCUAGUUGGUGAGGUAAAGGCUCACCAAGGCGACGAUCAGUAGCUGGUCUGAGAGGAUGAUCAGCCACAUUGGGACUGAGACACGGCCCAAACUCCUACGGGAGGCAGCAGUGGGGAAUCUUGCGCAAUGGGCGAAAGCCUGACGCAGCCAUGCCGCGUGAAUGAUGAAGGUCUUAGGAUUGUAAAAUUCUUUCACCGGGGACGAUAAUGACGGUACCCGGAGAAGAAGCCCCGGCUAACUUCGUGCCAGCAGCCGCGGUAAUACGAAGGGGGCUAGCGUUGCUCGGAAUUACUGGGCGUAAAGGGAGCGUAGGCGGACAUUUAAGUCAGGGGUGAAAUCCCGGGGCUCAACCUCGGAAUUGCCUUUGAUACUGGGUGUCUUGAGUAUGAGAGAGGUGUGUGGAACUCCGAGUGUAGAGGUGAAAUUCGUAGAUAUUCGGAAGAACACCAGUGGCGAAGGCGACACACUGGCUCAUUACUGACGCUGAGGCUCGAAAGCGUGGGGAGCAAACAGGAUUAGAUACCCUGGUAGUCCACGCCGUAAACGAUGAUUGCUAGUUGUCGGGAUGCAUGCAUUUCGGUGACGCAGCUAACGCAU
This 757-nucleotide ribosomal RNA is filed under the name uncultured bacterium. RNAcentral describes it as "bacterial SSU rRNA". It matches the Rfam family "Bacterial small subunit ribosomal RNA", at positions 56 to 860 of the family's 1533-position model. The record is from RNAcentral.